GCCUAAUACAUGCAAGUCGAGCGAACGGACGAGAUUCUUGCUUCUCUGAUGUUAGCGGCGGACGGGUGAGUAACACGUGGAUAACCUACCUAUAAGACUGGGAUAACUUCGGGAAACCGGAGCUAAUACCGGAUAAUAUUUUGAACCGCAUGGUUCAAAAGUGAAAGACGGUCUUGCUGUCACUUAUAGAUGGAUCCGCGCUGCAUUAGCUAGUUGGUAAGGUAACGGCUUACCAAGGCAACGAUGCAUAGCCGACCUGAGAGGGUGAUCGGCCACACUGGAACUGAGACACGGUCCAGACUCCUACGGGAGGCAGCAGUAGGGAAUCUUCCGCAAUGGGCGAAAGCCUGACGGAGCAACGCCGCGUGAGUGAUGAAGGUCUUCGGAUCGUAAAACUCUGUUAUUAGGGAAGAACAUAUGUGUAAGUAACUGUGCACAUCUUGACGGUACCUAAUCAGAAAGCCACGGCUAACUACGUGCCAGCAGCCGCGGUAAUACGUAGGUGGCAAGCGUUAUCCGGAAUUAUUGGGCGUAAAGCGCGCGUAGGCGGUUUUUUAAGUCUGAUGUGAAAGCCCACGGCUCAACCGUGGAGGGUCAUUGGAAACUGGAAAACUUGAGUGCAGAAGAGGAAAGUGGAAUUCCAUGUGUAGCGGUGAAAUGCGCAGAGAUAUGGAGGAACACCAGUGGCGAAGGCGACUUUCUGGUCUGUAACUGACGCUGAUGUGCGAAAGCGUGGGGAUCAAACAGGAUUAGAUACCCUGGUAGUCCACGCCAUAAACGAUGAGUGCUAAGUGUUAGGGGGUUUCCGCCCCUUAGUGCUGCAGCUAACGCAUUAAGCACUCCGCCUGGGGAGUACGACCGCAAGGUUGAAACUCAAAGGAAUUGACGGGGACCCGCACAAGCGGUGGAGCAUGUGGUUUAAUUCGAAGCAACGCGAAGAACCUUACCAAAUCUUGACAUCCUUUGACAACUCUAGAGAUAGAGCCUUCCCCUUCGGGGGACAAAGUGACAGGUGGUGCAUGGUUGUCGUCAGCUCGUGUCGUGAGAUGUUGGGUUAAGUCCCGCAACGAGCGCAACCCUUAAGCUUAGUUGCCAUCAUUAAGUUGGGCACUCUAAGUUGACUGCCGGUGACAAACCGGAGGAAGGUGGGGAUGACGUCAAAUCAUCAUGCCCCUUAUGAUUUAGGCUACACACGUGCUACAAUGGACAAUACAAAGGGCAGCGAAACCGCGAGGUCAAGCAAAUCCCAUAAAGUUGUUCUCAGUUCGGAUUGUAGUCUGCAACUCGACUACAUGAAGCUGGAAUCGCUAGUAAUCGUAGAUCAGCAUGCUACGGUGAAUACGUUCCCGGGUCUUGUACACACCGCCCGUCACACCACGAGAGUUUGUAACACCCGAAGCCGGUGGAGUAACCUUUUAGGAGCUAGCCGUCGAAGGUGGGACAAAUGAUUGGGGUGAAAU
This 1460-nucleotide ribosomal RNA is filed under the name uncultured organism. RNAcentral's name for it is "partial small subunit ribosomal RNA". It matches the Rfam family "Bacterial small subunit ribosomal RNA". The record is from RNAcentral.